RNAcentral lists this ribosomal RNA (425 nucleotides) under uncultured bacterium. RNAcentral describes it as "partial 16S ribosomal RNA". It matches the Rfam family "Bacterial small subunit ribosomal RNA", at positions 354 to 796 of the family's 1533-position model. The record is from RNAcentral.
GUGAGGAAUUUUGCGCAAUGGGGGCAACCCUGACGCAGCGACGCCGCGUGGAGGACGAAGUCUUUCGGGAUGUAAACUCCUGUCAGUGGGGACGAUAAUGACGGUACCCACAGAGGAAGCACCGGCUAACUCCGUGCCAGCAGCCGCGGUAAGACGGAGGGUGCAAGCGUUGUUCGGAAUUACUGGGCGUAAAGCGUAUGUAGGCGGCAAGUUAAGUUCAAUGUUAAAGCCCACGGCUCAACCGAGGAGAUGCAUUGAAUACUGGCUAGCUAAAGGGUGUUAGAAGAAGACGGAAUUCCCAGUGUAGCGGUGAAAUGCGUAGAUAUUGGGAGGAACAUCGGUAGCGAAAGCGGUCUUCUGGGACAUACCUGACGCUGAGGUACGAAAGCGUGGGGAGCAAACGGGAUUAGAUGCCCGAGUAGUCC